RNAcentral lists this transfer RNA (73 nucleotides) under Cavia porcellus (domestic guinea pig). It matches the Rfam family "tRNA". From Rfam's summary of the family: Transfer RNA (tRNA) molecules are approximately 80 nucleotides in length. Their secondary structure includes four short double-helical elements and three loops (D, anti-codon, and T loops). The record is from Rfam by way of RNAcentral. Lineage: Eukaryota; Metazoa; Chordata; Mammalia; Rodentia; Caviidae.
GGUCCCAUUGUGUAAUGGUUAGCACUCUGGACUUUGAAUCUAGCCAUCUGAGUUUAAAAUCUCAAUGGGACCU